RNAcentral lists this long non-coding RNA (821 nucleotides) under Coturnix japonica (Japanese quail). RNAcentral describes it as "lncRNA (ENSCJPG00005007170.1)". Lineage: Eukaryota; Metazoa; Chordata; Aves; Galliformes; Phasianidae. The record is from RNAcentral.
AUUUUAACCAGUUUUCUGUGUGGCCAAGCCCACUCUGCAAUGCAUGCUUCUAGCUACACUCCAGUGUGUUAAAAUUACAGAGCAGCCAAAUCACCUGUGUUUGUUUAGACUCAUAUUUACUGCAAAUGAUUCUUAGGGAAUGAAUCUAUCCACACUACAUUGUAGUAGGUGUAGACUUCACACUGAUGAGAUCAGAAAUCUGUGUUUAAAAAAACAGCUUUCCAAGGCAGUUAAGUAGUAAUUUCCACUCUUUCUUUCCCUAAUCUCCUAUAGGCUCUCAGCAGCUGUGGAGCUCCACUGAGGUAUACAGGGAGAGCCAGCUCAUCUGAGUGAUAAAUAUUGCAGAGCAACAGCAGAGAGGAGGAAGAUAAUCCAAAUGCCUUCUGUGGACAGCCCUGGAAGGAUGAGGAAGAAGCUUCCCAUUUCUAAGCCCAGGGAGAGGUCACUUCUGAGGACUAAGCGGGAAGUUGCAUCUAGAAGCCGGAACUUACAACACCAGCUUCCUUGGGAGUAUUUUGAUGCUUUCACUGCCUGUCAAAAUCAGGAAGUAUAAAAUGCAGAGAAAACUUACUUAAAGAUAAAAAGUUCUUUUUACAAAAAUAUGUCUUACAACCAGAUAUCUGAUGGAGUUGGGAACAGGUUAUUCCUUUGUCUACUACUCUAAAUUUAAGUGUAAGUGUCCUGUGGCACAGUUGUGAUGAUGUUGAUGCCUGUAAAUGUUCUGAUUGCAUUGGGGGGUGAUCACAGAAUCACAGAGUCAUUUGAGUUGGGAGGGACCCUUGAAGGUCAGUCAGGUCUAACUCCUCUGCAGUGAGCAGGCA